CCUGAACUUCCGGCCCCUCAGUAGCUCAGGGAGGUAAAUCGCGGGAUGUGCCCAAGUUGACCAGGGUUCGAACAGCCUUUAUACUCUUGGCUCCAAGGGAGCCUCCUCCAUGAUUAUUACAUCACCAAGCUGCUCCAACCCUUCCUCUGGUUAUUACAACACUCAGCUGCUCCAACCAGGAAUCGAACUCCCCACGCUGGGGUUGCGAGCCCCGCACUGUCCUUCCUUUG
This 230-nucleotide long non-coding RNA is filed under the name Olea europaea (common olive). RNAcentral describes it as "long non-coding RNA (OEUR_LNC015000)". Lineage: Eukaryota; Viridiplantae; Streptophyta; Magnoliopsida; Lamiales; Oleaceae. The record is from RNAcentral.